AGAGGCGCAGUUCACGAAGUCAGUGAAAAAAUUUGCCUUGUUACUUCCUAUAACAAACGAGACUCUAGCCUGCUAAUUAGUACGCCAGUCCUCUGUUCCUUUGCUGGCGGCGUUUUGGCGAAACUGCUCAAUUCAGGUGACUUCUUUCGGGCCACGCAUUUCUCUGCGCGCGUGUGCUGCGAGCCCUUCCCGGGGUGAGUGGUGUGCGUGCGUGUGGGGGCGUAAAAUGUGGUAAGAGGUGUGAACGGUGGGUUCAGCGCUAGCCACUGGGUACGUCGCAGGUGUGUCUACUUCUUAGAGGGCCAAGCAUUACGAAUGUGCAAGAAAUUGAGCAAGAAGAGGUCUGUGAUGCCCU
Molecule: non-coding RNA, 355 nt
Filed under: Schistocephalus solidus
Lineage: Eukaryota; Metazoa; Platyhelminthes; Cestoda; Diphyllobothriidea; Diphyllobothriidae
Source: Rfam by way of RNAcentral